Molecule: non-coding RNA, 92 nt
Organism: Mycena leptocephala
Lineage: Eukaryota; Fungi; Basidiomycota; Agaricomycetes; Agaricales; Mycenaceae
Source: the annotation of a GenBank genome assembly
GACUCGGUGGCGGAUGGUCUGCGUCCAUGAUUCAUGAGCCUCGACUAUCACUUUGACCAUGGAAGUUGCUUGUUCGAAUCAGGCCUGAGUCA